AUUCUGUAGAAUUCUUUCCUUUUCGAUCAAUAUUUUUCUUAUUUCAUUUAGUAUGUAUUCUAUUUAAGUUAGGGAUUUAUGCCCUUGUAAUAUUAAGGAAAAGUGAAAUAUUUUCACAUGGUAUCAGAGAAUCAAACAAAAAAAAAUCCUAACCCUAAUUUUAGUACUGCCACUGUCGUAACCAGCCACUGUCGUACCCAGCCCCGCUGCCGUCGUCACGAGUUGUCGUCGUUUCCGCAUGUUUCCACCUAUCUACAUGUUUCCUUCGAUCGUUUCCUUCUAUCGAUCCGAGCAGAUCUGAUCCGCACGUUUUUUGCUGAUCCGAGCAGAUCUGAUUCGGUUCGAGCAACACUGCCGCCGUUUACAACCUCUGCCGAUUUCGAUCCGUGCAUUUCUGCUGAUUCCGCCAUCGAUUCUUGCUCGUUUUCUACCACGAUUUUAUCCUAGAUCAGCUCGCCAACGCCACCGUACGACUGCCUUAUCUCUUCUGCCGUCGUCAAUUGGUUUUCCAAUCACAUCCUCUCAGAUUUGGUCUUCCCAUUCGCGAGUGUGUUGUUAAGAUCCAAUUACACACAACAUGUCCGACGAAAAAUCAUUGAUGGCCAAAGUUUCCGACGAUCGUAAACUUUCAAAAAUCCAAGUCACCACAAUUCGACUUAAUGGGGACAACUUCCUCCGUUGGUCCCAAAGCGUUUGGAUGUAUAUUCGUGGACAAGGGAAGAUUGGGUAUCUUACCGGUGAAAAUAAGACACCGGCCAAGACAGAUCCGUUGUCGAUGCUGAAAAUUCCACGGUCAUGACAUGGUUGGUCAAUUCCAUGAAUGAAAAAAUAUGUUCCAACUACAAGUGUUAUUGUACCACAAAGGACUUAUGGGAUAAUGUCAACUAAAUGUAUCCAGACCUUGACAACCAAGUGGAGUUUGAAUCUCAAGCUAGGUGAUAUCCGACAAGAAGGAGAUAUAGUUACACAGUACUUUCACAAGCUAACAAGAAUUUGGCAAGACUUGCAAGACUUAGAUCUUAAGUUAUGAAUGGGAAUCGACUAAGGAUCAAGCACACUACAAGAAGGUGGUGGAGGACAGUCGUGUUUACAAAUUUCUCACUAGUCUCAAUGAUGAAUUCGAAGAUGUUAGAAGUAGAGUUACUUGUAGAGAACCUCUUCCCUACAUCAAUGAAGCUUUUUCUGAGGUUUGCAGGGAGAAAAGUCGUCGAAGUCUUAUGUUGGGCAAGAAAAGCACAGACUCUAUGAGACAUCUGCCUUGAUGACUGAAACCACUGCCAAUAAGGCUUCUCUGCCAUCAAACAAACCCCAAGUAUGGUGUGAGCAUUGUAACAAACCUCACCAUACUCGUGAGACCUGUUGGAAAAUCCAUCGAAAGAAUGCAAACAGGAAGAAAAACAAGCCAAGUGAUAAAGGUAACAUCAAUCCGCACGUCCCAUUGUUAAUAGUGCCGACUCCAAUCCAUUUAAUAAAGAGCAAGUUGAUCAACUCCUGAAGCUGUUAAAGUCAAUUCGCCAUCGGGUAAUCCUAGUACUUCCAUGGCACAAACAGGUAACUUCCUCGAGCUUUCUUUUUGUCUUAAUUCAUCUCCUUGGAUCAUAGAUUCUGGAGCUUCAGACCAUAUACUAGUAUAUCUCAUUUUUUUUAUUCAUAUUCCCUUCCGUAUAGCACUAAGAAAAUUCGACUUGCAGAUUGUAGUUUCAAUUCUAUUGCAGGAAAAGGAACUAUUCGUCUGACAGAAAAAUUACAUUACACUCCGUGCUCCAUGUCCCUGAAUUAGCUUGUAAUUCAUUAUCUGUGAGUUCUUCAAAGAUUGGACGUGCUAGUCUACUUGAUGGUCUUUAUUACUUUGAUGACUCUCCGACUAGUGAUAAAAAAGAUCAGGGGACUUAAGUUCUGUUAAUUCUUCUUCUGUUCAAGAAUCAAUUAUGUUAUGGCAUUUUAGACUAGGAUAUCCCAGUUUCUUCUAUUUGAAGUUUUUGUUCCCAAACUUAUUUAAAGGAAUUGAUUGUUCAAAUUGUCAAUGUGAAAGUUGUAUCUUUGCUAAAAAUCAUUGGGUCCCAUAUUUAUCAAAA
Non-coding RNA from Benincasa hispida (wax gourd), 2075 nucleotides. Lineage: Eukaryota; Viridiplantae; Streptophyta; Magnoliopsida; Cucurbitales; Cucurbitaceae. The record is from RefSeq and is a predicted model, not a curated record.